This 117-nucleotide non-coding RNA is filed under the name Enterobacterales bacterium 8AC. Its description in RNAcentral is "ALIL". It matches the Rfam family "ALIL pseudoknot". The record is from RNAcentral. Lineage: Bacteria; Pseudomonadati; Pseudomonadota; Gammaproteobacteria; Enterobacterales.
GGCUUAUUUUGCUCAGGCGGAGCUCGACCGCCACUGGAAAAAAUAAUGCCACUCAUCGAGCGCCUGAGUGGCCAAUACGGGGUCGGGCCAGUCUGCCGUGAGCUGGAUAUUGCCCCG